Dromaius novaehollandiae (emu) is the source of this 865-nucleotide long non-coding RNA. RefSeq lists it as uncharacterized. The record is from RefSeq and is a predicted model, not a curated record. NCBI's taxonomy places the organism in Eukaryota, Metazoa, Chordata, Aves, Casuariiformes, Dromaiidae. The transcript has 2 exons.
GGGGGCGCCCGGCCCGGCCCGGCCCGGCCUCCCACCCAUCGCCCAGAUAGAAGCAACGCACCAUAUUACUCCCCGCACCGGAAAAGACGGCGCCAUGCGAAGCCGGAAGAGGCGGGGAGGGCCUUCCGUUGCUAUGCCCCUCGCUCCUCCUUCCGCUCACACCAGCUCACCAUCGCAGGAAGCCAAAGCCCACAGCUGCUUCAGCCAGUUUAGUUGCCUGAAUGCCAUCCAGCUCGACCCAGAGGAAGGCAAAAGGGAGGAAACUGGCUGUAGAGUGCCUGUCUAUUGUAGCUAUUUCAGCCCGAAAGUCCUCCUUAGUGAUGAUGAUGUCACCGUAUUUGAUCAGUACAUAUGAAACUGGAUAAAAUUGCACUGCAUUUCUGCGUUUCAACUAUCCAUAUCUGUAAGAAUUCAGAGGAAGGACUGCCAUACUGGGAGUCAGGAUAUCCUACUACAAGAAAACCUUUGUUUCACCACUUCCUAAUAUAGCUAAAUCCUCCAUAUAAAACCUAGAGAAUAGUGACAGUACUGCCAUAGCCAUUUCCCUCUGUACUGAUAUAUUAGAUAUAGGUGUAUGUUUUUUCCAAGCAAUAUGGAAAAUAUUGAAAGCUGUAUAAAAUACAGUAGCUCUCAGAACUGCAGGAACUGUGCUGUUGAAAAUGUAGUCAGUUGUUUGUGUGCUAAAACAAGAGUGACCUGAGAACUGUUCUUGGUGCUCUGGCUAUGUUAAAACACUUGAAAAAGCAUAAAAGUCCACCAGUUAUCUACAGUAAUUCAAAUCUAGAGAGUAUGGUGGUAUGAAGCAAAAGGCAUGCUUUGAUGGAAGAAAAAUAUAGAGCCACGCUUAAGGUACUGUGACUAUUGU